ACUUUCCUGCAGAGACCUAUACUUGAAAUCAGUGGCUGUAAUCGUUGAAUAAACAUAUAACACAGGAAAUAACAUUUUGUGCACAAACGAACAAUUAUAUUCUAAGCUUGCUUAACAUGCUCGAAGCAGAAUCGUAACAUUGUUGAAAAGUUUUUGUGAUCCGGUGAAAACGCACUAAUAUUUUCGCUUUAACACGAAACAGGAAACUCAUAAAUAUUCAUGUUUACUGACACCCCAAAUAUCCCCUACACCGAAUAUUUCAGAACAAUGGCCUAAUCAGUUCUCUACUGUGUGCACAACAGAGAAUAUAUUAGAGAAUCAGACACCGACUUUGAGCUGAAACUAGAGCAGCUCUCUGAGCCCAAAGGUUCUUCUAGAGGCAGUGUUCCUUAGUAUUGACCCUUACAUGCGACCAUUCAGCCGUGUUCGACUGAAAGCAGGAGAUGUGAUGAUCGGAGCUCAAGUUGCCAACAAUAUCACCAGAGUCUUGGAUGCCUGGCCUCAGGAUAUCUCCUCCUCCCAUGCCCUUGGAGCCGUUGGCUUAUCAUGGUCCUUGUCCACACCUUUAGAUGAUUUUUAAGCAGUUGAAAAUGGAAGGUUUCUUGGUAGGCAGGUGGGAACAUAAAAAUGAAGAGUCACUGAAGCGAACAUUGACCUGGAUGCUGCUAGUCUGGUUAUUACUAUACUAUGCUUUAUUUAAAUACAAUUGUACUUCUUCUCUGUAAGUAUCAUAUAUUAAUAAUGAUGCCUAUUCUCUUGAUGCUGCGAGGAGAAAAUACCGAAAAAGCCAUUGUUAAAGUCUAAUAACAAGUAUUGCAGUGGUGUCCUUUAUUUUGUUUUACAAAUAAAGUCUCUUUUUUUGUACAUUUGCAACAUUCUCUAGGACAGAUAUGCACAAAACAAGAAUAAUAUGAUACUUGCUCUAAUAUUAGAAGCAUAAAGGAGAUAUUGAUCUCAAAAGAUUAGGCCUAUCAAGUCUGUUGCUCAGCAUUAUUCAGCAUUUGUAAAUCCUGUCAUAAAAAAACCCAGCAGAAUAUGUUUAGUCAUCAUGAACUAAAUGAACAAUAGUGAUAGCAGAUAAAUCAUUAACUGUCUUUAGAUGGUCUUUAUAGUAAGACGGAUGCAGACAGGCAAAUAAAGUCGCUUUUUAGAGGUUUCUAACAAGACACGUUUUCUUUGAAAGUUAUUUUGAUAUAUAAAUAAAUAAAUGCAUGAGCUUAAAAAUUAAAGUUAAAAAUAAUUUGGUAUUUUUACUACCUGCACUGGGUGUUUGGUGGUAAUGUACAAUGACACAACAAAAAUAUCUGUCUGAAAACACUGACAUCUUGUGGCUAUUUAUGAAGGAAUCGUAGUUCAUAGUGAAUGUUCUGGAAGAGACCAACCGGGUCAUCUUAUGUGUGGGGCAAAUAAAAGAUUUAUAUAUAUCAUUCAUGACAAAAUGUGUAGUAGCUUUUGUGUUGCAUUGAUUAAGAAUAUGUUCAAAUACAUUUCAGAAUAAAACAUUUAAUUUUAGUGGAAUAUGGAAUAAUGAUUUUGAUUUGGGUUUUGUCAUACAGUAUACAGUGACAUUCAAAGUAUAUGCAAUGUCAUGGUUAUGAGGUCAUUUCAAAGUCAUCCUGACUGUGCAUUAGAAAUUAUUCUGAUAUUUAAAUAGCAACAAAUAAGAAAAUAAAAUACAUUUUUAUUCACCAACCAUCAAUGUUUAUGUUUACCACUCACAGGGUGUAUUCACACUAGGAAAUUCCGCUAGUUCACUUAAUUUGG
Carassius gibelio (silver crucian carp) is the source of this 1764-nucleotide long non-coding RNA. RefSeq lists it as uncharacterized. The transcript has 5 exons. The record is from RefSeq and is a predicted model, not a curated record. Lineage: Eukaryota; Metazoa; Chordata; Actinopteri; Cypriniformes; Cyprinidae.